Molecule: long non-coding RNA, 1332 nt
Organism: Drosophila yakuba
Lineage: Eukaryota; Metazoa; Arthropoda; Insecta; Diptera; Drosophilidae
Exons: 3
Source: RefSeq, a predicted model, not a curated record
AAAUUAAACAACUCCCAUGUGGAAGGAAAUGGAAACUUUUGCGGAAGGGGAAAGGACUACUUAUUCGUAAGCUGCCUUUUGUUCGUCACGUUGGCGACGCGAAAGUGCCAAAGUUUUUCAUUGUAAUAAAUAUUUUAAUUUUGAACUUGAGCAAUUAACCCGGGAACGCAUGUGGAAAGGCAAGGCAAGGAAUGGAAAGUUGCGGCAAGGAAAGGGAGAUGCCACCUCCAUUGUCCUGGCAAUUGUGAUAGGGAUACCACCACCACCACCCACUCAAGCCCUUUUUUCCUUCGCUGGGCGUAACGCUCUUCACGAACAUUAUGAACUUAAGACCCCCUUGGCAAACAACAAUAACAAUAAGAGGCUGGGACACAUGCCAAAGUGGUUAAGUCGGCGGAGAAAUGUUGGCAAAACUUUUCGGGGCGACGCAUUUAAAUGAUUUUGCAUAAUUCAAAUGGUGGCAAACUUUUCGCAUCCAAUGAGGACACACCAAAAAAAAAAAAGCCCGAGAAACAAACAGCAGCAGCAGCAACAAACAAACAAAAAAUAAUAACGAAAGCGUUACGAAACUUGGCCCCGAACUUGCAAGCCAGGUGAACAUUAAGGGGUGGUUGUCCCCCCAACCACCGGGGGAUGCCGUCAACUGGAAAUGUACACAAAGGGCUUAAUUAUAAAAGUCAACACACGGCACGGCACGGCGCAAAGCGUUUCACAAAGAAGCUCGGGGGUUAGGCACUCUCUAUAUCAUCAUCAUCAUCAUCAUCAUCCGCACCCGAUGCACUCGCACCCAUUCACCGCGCAUACACAAAAACCCAAAAUCCAAAAAAGCAAGAGCUGAAUCUGAAUUUGAAUCCGAAUCUGAUUCUGUGAGGUGAGUUGAGUGGAAGAAAAAAAACAAGAAAUUCGUAUGUAAUUAAAAUGAAAUCCCCUUUUUACGACUGAUGUGGAUGGCAAAGAUUUUUACGGUUAUUUGUUUGGAAAAAAUACAAAAAUAAAGAAAAACAGGAGGCCAGCAAAAGGCAGACCUGCAGUAAUUCAAACAGCGAGCAAACCGGAAAAUGUGAUAAGUUUUUUCCUCUACAGCGCUUUCCAUAACUCGAGCUGGGAGCAGCGUACAUAAAUUUCGAGUGUUGCCCGUGGCCCAAUGGCUGAUGGCUGAUGUCUGAUGGCUUUUGGCCGACUGGGGAGCGGAAAAACGUUGGCGGAUGGCGGAUGGAUGGAAAUUUGAUACGAUUCGGUUGCCAGCAGAGGCGAAAAGUAACACACAGCACAGUCUGCGGUUUGGGGCCAAGUCAGAAUUGUGGUUAUUAAUAAAGAAACGAUCGCAAAGCA